This 908-nucleotide ribosomal RNA is filed under the name uncultured bacterium. RNAcentral describes it as "bacterial SSU rRNA". It matches the Rfam family "Bacterial small subunit ribosomal RNA", at positions 8 to 950 of the family's 1533-position model. The record is from RNAcentral.
AGAGUUUGAUCCUGGCUCAGAAUCAACGCUGGCGGCGCGCUUAACACAUGCAAGUCGCACGAGAAAGUGGGAAACCAUGAGUACAGUGGCGUACGGGUGAGUAACACGUGGGUAAUCUACCUCUGAGUGGGGAAUAACCCUGGGAAACCGGGGCUAAUACCGCAUAAUCUCGAGAGAGGAGAGCAGCAAUGCGCUGAGAGAGGAGCCCGCGGCCGAUUAGCUAGUUGGUAGGGUAAGAGCCUACCAAGGCAGAGAUCGGUAGCCGGCCUGAGAGGGCACACGGCCACACUGGCACUGAAACACGGGCCAGACUCCUACGGGAGGCAGCAGUGGGGAAUCUUGCACAAUGGGGGAAACCCUGAUGCAGCGACGCCGCGUGAGCGAUGAAGCCCUUCGGGGUGUAAAGCUCUUUCGUCAGGGAAGAUGAUGACGGUACCUGGAGAAGCAGCUGCGGCUAACUACGUGCCAGCAGCCGCGGUAAUACGUAGGCAGCGAGCGUUGUUCGGAGUUACUGGGCGUAAAGGGUGUGUAGGCGGUUCUUUAAGUUUGGUGUGAAAUCUCCCGGCUCAACCGGGAGGGUGCGCCGAAUACUGAGGGACUUGGAGUGCGGGAGAGGAAAGUGGAAUUCCUGGUGUAGCGGUGAAAUGCGUAGAUAUCAGGAGGAACACCGGUGGUGUAGACGGCUUUCUGGACCGUAACUGACGCUGAGACACGAAAGCGUGGGUAGCAAACAGGAUUAGAUACCCUGGUAGUCCACGCCCUAAACGAUGCAUAUUUGGUGUGGGUCAUUCAGUUGAUCCGUGCCGGAGCUAACGCGUUAAAUAUGCCGCCUGGGGAGUACAGUCGCAAGGCUGAAACUCAAAGGAAUUGACGGGGCCCGCACAAGCGGUGGAGCAUGGUGGUUCAAU